UACGUAGGGGGCAAGCGUUGUCCGGAUUUAUUGGGCGUAAAGAGCGUGUAGGCGGCCAAGCAGGUCCGCUGUGAAAACUCGAGGCUCAACCUCGAGACGUCGGUGGAAACCGUUUGGCUAGAGUCCGGAAGAGGAGAGUGGAAUUCCUGGUGUAGCGGUGAAAUGCGCAGAUAUCAGGAAGAACACCCGUGGCGAAGGCGGCUCUCUGGGACGGUACUGACGCUGAGGAGCGAAAGCGUGGGUAGCAAACAGG
This 253-nucleotide ribosomal RNA is filed under the name uncultured bacterium. Its description in RNAcentral is "partial 16S ribosomal RNA". It matches the Rfam family "Bacterial small subunit ribosomal RNA", at positions 524 to 776 of the family's 1533-position model. The record is from RNAcentral.